CUCCAAUAGCGUAUAUUAAAGUUGUUGCAGUUAAAAAGCUCGUAGUUGGAUUUCUGGUUUGAGCAUCCGGUCCACAUUUAUGUGCGUACUAUGGUAGCUUGGGCCUUUUUUUUGUGAGGACGCUUAGCUGCCAUUAAGUUGGUGGUUUUGUGGACUUGCAUCGUUUACUGUGAAAAAAUUAGAGUGUUUAAAGCAGGCGU
This 200-nucleotide ribosomal RNA is filed under the name uncultured eukaryote. RNAcentral describes it as "partial 18S ribosomal RNA". It matches the Rfam family "Eukaryotic small subunit ribosomal RNA", at positions 589 to 787 of the family's 1831-position model. The record is from RNAcentral.